CACUAGCAACGUUUGUAGCAACUCUUAUUUUUAGAAAUAAAUUUACAGCUCAAGAACGUGAUGCAGG
RNAcentral lists this small RNA (67 nucleotides) under Listeria monocytogenes serotype 4b str. LL195. RNAcentral's name for it is "Flavo-1 RNA". The record is from RNAcentral. Lineage: Bacteria; Bacillati; Bacillota; Bacilli; Caryophanales; Listeriaceae.